RNAcentral lists this small RNA (2015 nucleotides) under Arabidopsis thaliana (thale cress). RNAcentral describes it as "ATSL259670". The record is from RNAcentral. Lineage: Eukaryota; Viridiplantae; Streptophyta; Magnoliopsida; Brassicales; Brassicaceae.
UAUUAAAUACUACUCAUUUUCAUCCUACUAUAUUAUUUGGGAAGUACAUUUUAAAUGUAACCUUAAUUUUUGUAAGUAAUUACAUAGGUAUGCCAUUAGAAAUAAAAUUUUAAAGAGUAAAUUAAUUUAUCUCUUUGAGAAUUAAAAAGUCAAAUACUAAUUUAAUUAAUUAAAUUUAAUUAAAAAACAAAAUACAUUAUUAAUUUCCAAAAAUAAUAACCAAUCAAAAUCAACAUAUAAGAUUUGAUAUCUAAAUUUUAAUUAAUUUAAUUUAAUUAGAAAAACAAAAUACAUUAUUAAUUCCCAAAAAAGUAACCAAUUAAAAUCAACAAAUUAGAUUUGAUAUCUAAAUUAUCAUAUUAAUUUUUUAUUAAUUAUUAUAGUUCACUUCUCAUCUUUAUAUGAUUCUAUUUUUGCCGAAAAAUAAUAUCAUCAUUAUAGAAAAAUAAUUAGAGUUUUUUCGCAUAUGCCAUAAUUUGAAUUUUUAAAAACGAAUAUAAACUGUUCAAUACAUGAAAAAAUAUUAUAACAGGUGAAAAUAGAUUUAAGAAAACUUUCUACUGAGUAACAGAUCAUAAUUUGAAAUAUUUAUAUUCAUUUUCAUACAUAUUAUAUUGAAAAUUUAUAAUCUUAUAUUCUACAAUAAUUAAUAACAUAUUAGAUGUGAUUCAAUUUUUAAUACAAGCUGGAAAAUCCUAAAAUUGACGGGUUUAGAUCGAUAUUAAUACAAGAUGGUAUACUACAGGUGAAACUCUUAAAUUAACAAUCAAAAUACAAGUGUAUAAUCUUAAACACUAAACAAUAUAGAUAAUAUUAACAAAACAUAUACAACUCACAGUUUACUAUACAUUUAAAAUCAAAUAAAAUAAUAUCAUAUAUUUUUAAAUCAUCUUUACAAUAAAAGUUUUUAGUUGAACUAAAAUAUAAGCCUACUUACGGUAUAUUGUAGGUUAAUAUAUAGAUUACAGGGCUUAUUGGAUCUAAAGACAAGUCAUGAAAGAUUUCCUAAACUGAAGCAAAAUAUACUGAAUAUUCAAAUCUCUAUCUGUUACCAAAUUAUAAACAAAUAAGUUCGUAAAACAAUUUAAUAUUUUAUAUACGAAAUCAACUAAAUCUUAAUCACAUAAAAUUAGCACAAAAAAAAGUAUUCAACAAUUAAAAAAUUAUCAAAUCUCUAUAUAAGUUUUGAUACUAUAUUCGAAUAAAGUGUAAUAUUCCAUUUCAAUUUGUAUUCUUUAACUAAUUUAAACGAACUAAUAUAUUUGCUAAUCUUAUACCUAUCAAAACCGACUAUCGUUUCUUAUCUCUAUAGUAUAUUUGCAAGACUUUUUUGGUGGAUUUGGAUAAAAGUGCAUAUCGUCCUACUAUAUUAUUUGGGAAGUACAUUUUAAAUGUAACCUUAAUUUUUGUAAUUAAUUAUAUGACAAUGCCAUUAGAAAAAUUUAAUCAAAAACAAAAUCUUUUAAUGACAUCAUUAAGAUUACCAAAAUCAUUUAACGACAAUAUUCAUCUCUUAAUUAUAGGGCUUAUUGGAUUUAAAGACGGGUCAUCAAAGAUUUCCUAAACUGAAGCAAAAUAUACUGAAUAUUCAAAUCUAUAUCUGUUACCAAAUUAUAAACAAAUAAGUUCGUAAAACAAUUUAAUAUUUUAUAUACGAAAUCAAUUAAAUUUUAAUCACAUAAAAAUUAGCACAAAAAAUAUGGUACAUUCGGGUCUAUAGUAGUUUUGCAAGACUUUUUUGGUGGAUUUGGGUAAAAGUACAUUCGGGUCAUAUGGUACAUUCCCCUAUUAAAUAAAUAUGGUUCACUCCUAUGUUAUUAGCUAAAAUGUUUAGAUUAUAAUUCAGAGUCAUAUCAUAAAUAAAAUUAAUAUUAAUAAAAUAAAUGGCUUUUUGGCAAGACGGAUUUGAAGGGACGAGUUUUUGAAUCAACAUUAAUAAAAAGUAAAAUAUAAUUAAUCCACCGUUUCAAUACGGGUUAAAUCUUUAAUUUAUUAUUUUUUAAUAACAAUUAAUA